This 369-nucleotide ribosomal RNA is filed under the name Hypotrachyna kenyana. RNAcentral's name for it is "SSU rRNA". It matches the Rfam family "Bacterial small subunit ribosomal RNA", at positions 357 to 744 of the family's 1533-position model. Lineage: Eukaryota; Fungi; Ascomycota; Lecanoromycetes; Lecanorales; Parmeliaceae. The record is from RNAcentral.
AGGAAUGUAUAGCAAUAGCUAGUUGCAUCAUUGUAAAUAUGAUGCAAGAUUGACUAUGUUGAAUAAAAUUCUAGGUAGAGUUAUGAUAAUGACAUUUUCUGCCUAUGUGUCUUGACCAAAUUACGUGCCAGCAGUCGCGGUAAUACGUAGAAGACUAGUGUUAUUCAUGUUUAAUCGGUUUAAAGGGUACCUAGACGGCAGAUCAAGCUUUUCCAACAGAAAAAAAAUAAAAAGGACUAAUUUGCUAGAGUUACUUACGAGGGGGUUUUAAAGUACUGCUGGUGUAGAGAUGAAAUUCUGUCAUACCUCUUUCGAAAGAAAAUAAUGGCACAGGUAUAGGCGAAGGCAUCCCCUUAUGGGAUAACUGAC